CUCUGCGGUGGAACGGGAGGGGGACGCCUUCGUGCGUGCUGGGUACUUGUGUGACCAGUCUGUCAACCCUCUUUCGUUCUGCCACCAUA
This is a non-coding RNA of Acinetobacter qingfengensis, 89 nucleotides long. The record is from Rfam. NCBI's taxonomy places the organism in Bacteria, Pseudomonadati, Pseudomonadota, Gammaproteobacteria, Moraxellales, Moraxellaceae.